AGAGUUUGAUCCUGGCUCAGGAUGAACGCUGGCGGUCUGCUUAACACAUGCAAGUCGAACGGAGUAGAAAUACUUAGUGGCGGACGGGUGAGUAACGCGUGAGAAUCUGCCUUCAGGACGGAGACAACAGUUGGAAACGACUGCUAAGCCCCGAUAAACCGAAAGGGAAAAUAUUUAUAGCCUGAAGAUGAGCUCGCGUCUGAUUAGCUAGUUGGUGGGGUAAGAGCCUACCAAGGCGACGAUCAGUAGCUGGUCUGAGAGGACGAUCAGCCACACUGGGACUGAGACACGGCCCAGACUCCUACGGGAGGCAGCAGUGGGGAAUUUUCCGCAAUGGGCGAGAGCCUGACGGAGCAACGCCGCGUGAGGGAGGAAGGCCUGUGGGUUGUAAACCCUCUUUUCUCAGGGGAAGAAG
RNAcentral lists this small RNA (415 nucleotides) under uncultured Oscillatoria sp. RNAcentral describes it as "bacterial SSU rRNA". It matches the Rfam family "Bacterial small subunit ribosomal RNA", at positions 8 to 450 of the family's 1533-position model. The record is from RNAcentral. Lineage: Bacteria; Bacillati; Cyanobacteriota; Cyanophyceae; Oscillatoriales; Oscillatoriaceae.